Molecule: ribosomal RNA, 460 nt
Filed under: uncultured bacterium
Lineage: Bacteria
Description: partial 16S ribosomal RNA
Rfam family: Bacterial small subunit ribosomal RNA
Source: RNAcentral
CCUACGGGCGGCAGCAGUGAGGAAUAUUGGUCAAUGGGCGGGAGCCUGAACCAGCCAAGCCGCGUGAAGGAAGAAGGCGCCAAGCGUCGUAAACUUCUUUUGUCGGGGAACAAAGGGCGCCACGUGUGGCGUUGUGAGUGUACCCGAAGAACAAGCAUCGGCUAACUCCGUGCCAGCAGCCGCGGUAAUACGGAGGAUGCGAGCGUUAUCCGGAUUUACUGGGUGUAAAGGGAGCGUAGACGGCAGCGCAAGUCUGGAGUGAAAUCCCAUGGCUUAACCAUGGAACUGCUUUGGAAACUGUGCAGCUGGAGUGCAGGAGAGGUAAGCGGAAUUCCUAGUGUAGCGGUGAAAUGCGUAGAUAUUAGGAGGAACACCAGUGGCGAAGGCGGCUUACUGGACUGUAACUGACGUUGAGGCUCGAAAGCGUGGGGAGCAAACAGGAUUAGAUACCCGAGUAGUC